CACGUAGGGUGCGAGCGUUGUCCGGAAUUAUUGGGCGUAAAGAGCGUGUAGGCGGCCAGGUAGGUCCGCUGUGAAAACUCGAGGCUUAACCUCGAGCUGUCGGUGGAAACCAUCUGGCUAGAGUCCGGAAGAGGAGAACGGAAUUCCCGGUGUAGCGGUGAAAUGCGCAGAUAUCGGGAAGAACACCCGUGGCGAAGGCGGUUCUCUGGGACGGUACUGACGCUGAGACGCGAAAGCGUGGGGAGCGAACAGG
This 253-nucleotide ribosomal RNA is filed under the name uncultured bacterium. RNAcentral's name for it is "partial 16S ribosomal RNA". It matches the Rfam family "Bacterial small subunit ribosomal RNA", at positions 524 to 776 of the family's 1533-position model. The record is from RNAcentral.